Long non-coding RNA from Syngnathus typhle (broad-nosed pipefish), 1674 nucleotides. RefSeq lists it as uncharacterized. NCBI's taxonomy places the organism in Eukaryota, Metazoa, Chordata, Actinopteri, Syngnathiformes, Syngnathidae. The record is from RefSeq and is a predicted model, not a curated record. The transcript is spliced from 2 exons.
GGAUGAGAUGGACCGACCAGGAGUGCUUCCUGGUGGCCACGAAGGAAACAGCAGAAAGCGGCACAGACAACUGCAAUCGUGAUGCGUAAACCGUAGAUUUGGUUCUAUUCUAUUGAAAUGUCGCGCAAUGUUUUCAUUGACUAUCUUGAAUGGAUGAACGUUAUUCAAUUUGCAUGAUUUGUGGCGGUCGCGUUUUCUAGUCUAUUUCUUCCGCUGCCGUUUCUGCACGGCCCCAUUUCACAAACGGACGAGUACAAGUUGCCGCGGCAGCAGCAACAACAGCAACAACAACAACAACAACAACAACAACAACAACAGCGCGGCGGACUUUUCCCGACCCGCAGUGGCAACUUGCUAUUUCUGUGCGCCCCCUGCUGGAUACACUCGGCAACACAGAUUCCCUCGCCCCAGAGCCAAAAGCAGACAAACCGGCAGAACGUGACGGCGAGCGGGGCAGGGCGUCGUCCGCCAUGGACACAUGACAGACAACCGACUGGUGACAACCGCCAAAGUAUGUCGAACAACGCCAAUGGUGAUAUCAUCUAUCCGCCAAACAAAUCAAAAACGUUGCCGCUGCCGGGCGCCCGACCGAUGACUCACAUCUCCCGCCAGCUUCUUGAAGGCUCGGCGAAAGGCUUUCUCCUCAUCGUUUUCGUGGGCCUCCUCGAACGCCAGAGGUCUGCGAGGCGGGGGCUGCAAGGCGAGCACAGAGGAGUCGCUGUUAGGCGGCACAAAAGCGCUAGCGAGUGUGCCAAGCGCGGCCUUGGCGAGAGAGCCGACGUCUUUCCCAUCUGGAGAGACGGCGGCUUCAUCGCUGGCUUGAGCGCGCCUCCAUUUCAAAACAUCCCAUCUCCGAGCGAGCGAGCGAGCGAGCGAGCGAGCGAUCAUCCCUCCGCCUCCUUUUCUUAAAAUGGCUUUCAUCCGGUCCAGAAAAACAACAACAACGGCACUUUUGUGUUUGACCGAGCGAGGAAAAGAAAACUCUGGGAGAUGGAAGUACAUUUUCCAUUCGGGAACGUGGCCUUCAUUCCCACACGAGCGAUUGAAGACAUCAUCUUUGUGUUUUCGAGCAAUGCUGGAAUUGCUCAACGCAUCUUGGCGGUGGGUGGGCGGCAUUUUUGAGCCACGGGGGUCGGCAUUUGGUUGACACCUUUGCAAUUUGAAUUCAACUCCAAAAGAAAACAAAGGCCUACAGAGUGAAAUGAAAUCCAUUUGGCAGCCGCACUCAGACGCACUUACUGGAGCCGACGGGACAAAGAUGGCCGGAUCGAUGUUGCUGCGGGAGCCGGGAGAAGAAGGCGGGCGGCUGUUAGCCUAACUUUCAGCACAAUGGCGGCUAACUGGACCGACCGGUUGGACGGGAUUCUCACCUGACCACGUUCAGAAUGCCGCCGAUGAAGUGCUUGGCGAAAUUCAUUUUCUGAAAGAAAAAAGAACACAGCACAAACAUCAACUUGAUUGUUUCCACGAGGAAUAUGCAGCUGGUUGGCUAAAAUGUCACCAAUUUGACUAUCUCAGUUGUUAACAUGUCGCCGCCGCCGGCUUGUGGUUAUUGCGGCCGCUUUGAGCAGAUUAUCGUCGCACAGAACAUGUUCAUGGCACUGAUGACGUUCAUCGUUGUUUGAGACCAAGAUUUGGACAGCACGUCUGACAACCAUCGAGCCAUAAUCAAAA